CACGUAGGGGGCGAGCGUUGUCCGGAUUCAUUGGGCGUAAAGCGCGCGCAGGCGGCUCGGAAAGUCGGGUGUGAAAACUCGGGGCUCAACCCCGGGCGUGCAUCCGAUACUGCCGGGCUUGAGGCAGGUAGGGGAGAUCGGAAUUCCUGGUGUAGCGGUGAAAUGACGCAGAUAUCAGGAGGAACACCGGUGGCGAAGGCGGAUCUCUGGGCCUGUCCUGACGCUGAGGCGCGAAAGCUAGGGGAGCGAACAGG
Molecule: ribosomal RNA, 254 nt
Filed under: uncultured bacterium
Lineage: Bacteria
Description: partial 16S ribosomal RNA
Rfam family: Bacterial small subunit ribosomal RNA
Source: RNAcentral